RNAcentral lists this ribosomal RNA (497 nucleotides) under uncultured bacterium. Its description in RNAcentral is "partial 16S ribosomal RNA". It matches the Rfam family "Bacterial small subunit ribosomal RNA", at positions 28 to 507 of the family's 1533-position model. The record is from RNAcentral.
GAUGAACGCUGGCGGCGUGCCUAAUACAUGCAAGUCGAGCGAACGGACGAGAAGCUUGCUUCUCUGAUGUUAGCGGCGGACGGGUGAGUAACACGUGGAUAACCUACCUAUAAGACUGGGAUAACUUCGGGAAACCGGAUCUAAUACCGGAUAAUAUUUUGAACCGCAUGGUUCAAAAGUGAAAGACGGUCCUGCUGUCACUUAUAGAUGGAUCCGCGCUGCAUUAGCUAGUUGGUAAGGUAACGGCUUACCAAGGCAACGAUGCAUAGCCGACCUGAGAGGGUGAUCGGCUACACUGGAACUGAGACACGGUCCAGACUCCUACGGGAGGAAGCAGUAGGGAAUCUUCCGCAAUGGGCGAAAGCCUGACGGAGCAACGCCGCGUGAGUGAUGAAGGUCUUCGGAUCGUAAAACUCUGUUAUUAGGGAAGAACAUAUGUGUAAGUAACUGUGCACAUAUUGACGGUACCUAAUCAGAAAGCCACGGCUAACUACGUG